Mycena epipterygia is the source of this 100-nucleotide non-coding RNA. The record is from the annotation of a GenBank genome assembly. Lineage: Eukaryota; Fungi; Basidiomycota; Agaricomycetes; Agaricales; Mycenaceae.
GUCCUCGUGGAGCACGGUAGCUCGCUCCCGCUUAGUCAUUCUCUGCAUAAUAGGCCCAAUAAUUCAGGGAGAGAAGGUGGUUCGAAUCCGCCCGAGGACG